AGCAAACUGCUCAGUAACACGUAGCUAACCUACCCUUAGGUUAAGGAUAUCCUCGGGAAACUGAGGUUAAUACUUAAUAGGGGAUAUACCCUGGAAAGAUUUAUCCCUGAAACUUGAGCCUAAGGAUGGGGCUGCGGCGGAUUAGGUUGUUGGCGGGGUAA
Molecule: ribosomal RNA, 161 nt
Filed under: Nanobdellota archaeon
Lineage: Archaea; Nanobdellati; Nanobdellota
Description: partial 16S ribosomal RNA
Rfam family: Archaeal small subunit ribosomal RNA
Source: RNAcentral